Molecule: long non-coding RNA, 214 nt
Filed under: Mytilus galloprovincialis (Mediterranean mussel)
Lineage: Eukaryota; Metazoa; Mollusca; Bivalvia; Mytilida; Mytilidae
Source: RNAcentral
CAAUUCUCUGCUUUUGUUGGAUUGAUACACACCUUCAAAAAUUUGAAGGCUGAAAUUUCAUUGGCUGAUAUAAUAUACACAAGGAAGGAAAAUAAAAUGACGUGUUGUAAGAACCUUGUAUCCAAAGCUUAAACAGAUAAUCUGUACAUUAUAUAUUAAUAAAUAAAUGUGUUAGACACCGACUCUAGUUUGAGGGAAGGAGCACGUGUAUUUU